This 478-nucleotide ribosomal RNA is filed under the name Acinetobacter baumannii. Its description in RNAcentral is "bacterial SSU rRNA". It matches the Rfam family "Bacterial small subunit ribosomal RNA", at positions 8 to 481 of the family's 1533-position model. Lineage: Bacteria; Pseudomonadati; Pseudomonadota; Gammaproteobacteria; Moraxellales; Moraxellaceae. The record is from RNAcentral.
AGAGUUUGAUCCUGGCUCAGAUUGAACGCUGGCGGCAGGCCUAACACAUGCAAGUCGAGCGGAUGAAGGGAGCUUGCUCCUGGAUUCAGCGGCGGACGGGUGAGUAAUGCCUAGGAAUCUGCCUGGUAGUGGGGGAUAACGUCCGGAAACGGGCGCUAAUACCGCAUACGUCCUGAGGGAGAAAGUGGGGGAUCUUCGGACCUCACGCUAUCAGAUGAGCCUAGGUCGGAUUAGCUAGUUGGUGGGGUAAAGGCCUACCAAGGCGACGAUCCGUAACUGGUCUGAGAGGAUGAUCAGUCACACUGGAACUGAGACACGGUCCAGACUCCUACGGGAGGCAGCAGUGGGGAAUAUUGGACAAUGGGCGAAAGCCUGAUCCAGCCAUGCCGCGUGUGUGAAGAAGGUCUUCGGAUUGUAAAGCACUUUAAGUUGGGAGGAAGGGCAGUAAGUUAAUACCUUGCUGUUUUGACGUUACCAA